Molecule: long non-coding RNA, 302 nt
Filed under: Pan troglodytes (chimpanzee)
Lineage: Eukaryota; Metazoa; Chordata; Mammalia; Primates; Hominidae
Description: long non-coding RNA NONPTRT014337
Source: RNAcentral
UUGCUUUUAGUUUCCGUGUUUUGGUGUUUUGUUUGUUCGUUUUUUUUUGUUUUGUUUUUACGACAAUGCCUUCUAGGGGAACAGUGUCGCUGGGCUGGGCGGUGGAGAGACACCUUUGGCACCAUCGUGCGAUCUCAUGCACCCUACCAGUGGAAAAUCCAUUUGGGAUUGCCCAGUGCACACAGUAGACAUGGAAAUUGAUGAUCAGCAUCCCCAGAAGGCCAGGGGAAGACACGGGCACACAAAAGGAAGAUGGCCAUGUGGACAGAGGCAGAAAUGGGAUCAAUGUAGCUACAGGCCAA